RNAcentral lists this unclassified non-coding RNA (391 nucleotides) under soil metagenome. RNAcentral's name for it is "partial contains 5.8S ribosomal RNA, internal transcribed spacer 2, and large subunit ribosomal RNA". The stretch from base 1 to 122 matches the Rfam family "5.8S ribosomal RNA", at positions 35 to 154 of the family's 154-position model. The record is from RNAcentral.
GAUGAAGAACGUAGCGAAAUGCGAUACUUGGUGUGAAUUGCAGAAUCCCGUGAACCAUCGAGUCUUUGAACGCAAGUUGCGCCCGAAGCCAUUAGGCCGAGGGCACGCCUGCCUGGGCGUCACACGUCGUUGCCCCCCCAUCUACUCCUUCGGGAUUGCGGGGGGCGGAUGAUGGCCUCCCGUGCGCCUCGCCGCGCGGUUGGCAUAAAUGCCAAGUCCUCGGCGACGCACGCCACGACAAUCGGUGGUUGCGAAACCUCGGUUGCCCGUCGUGUGCGGUCGUCGCGCAUCGAGGGCUCGAAAAAAUUGCCGGGUUCCGGCUCGGCUUUCAACGCGACCCCAGGUCAGGCGAGGUUACCCGCUGAAUUUAAGCAUAUCAAUAAGCGGAGGA